Long non-coding RNA from Scylla paramamosain (green mud crab), 1632 nucleotides. RefSeq lists it as uncharacterized. Lineage: Eukaryota; Metazoa; Arthropoda; Malacostraca; Decapoda; Portunidae. The record is from RefSeq and is a predicted model, not a curated record. The transcript has 4 exons.
UCUUCGUUAGUGUGUUAAUUGAGAGAUGCGAAGGAAUGUGUGGCUUCUCCUGUCACGGUCUGCUGUGUGUGUGUGUGUGUGUGUGUGUGUGAGUAGCAUGUGUGUCCUAAAUUUUGUGAACGUGAAUGUCAAGGGUAAACUGAACGCAAAUGUUUGUUAAUAAAAUUCAGUGAAUGUGUGUGUGUGUGUGUGUGUGUGUGUGUGUGGAGCGAGGUGAACGGUAGUAUCUGUCGGUGCCUCCUCCUCCUCCUUCUCCUCCUCCCAGGGCCGCCAGGUGGGCACGUCGCGGCACCAGGGAGAGAGGGCCAAUCAGUGCCACGCUCCCGCCUGCACAGAUCGACCAAUGCAACUGAGAGAUGAGCGAAAGUCAAGGAGAAUCAUUAAUAAUCCUUGGAAGUUUGGCCACAUGACUGGAGGUUAAUACACUUGAUAAUGAUAACGAACGAAAGCAAACAACAAGGUCACAAGUAAACACCGCAACACUAGUAACACCUGAAGAACACGAGAGAGAAGAGUCUAGCAGUGAGAAAAGACGAUAUUCAGCAGAAAUGUUUUAACUUGUCUAACAUUCCUAACAUUCACCAGAAAAAAAAAGAAAACUAAAGAAGUAAUGAAACAAAAUAAAGUAAAAGAAAUAAAAUAAACUGAUGAAAAAUAAAAUUAAUGAAAAAAAAAGUAAAAAAAAAGAGCACUUCUGAUUAAUUCUUUAAUUUCUCACAAGCACACUCAGUUCAAUCAGUAACACACCUGGCGCACAACACCUGUUAAUGAUCUCAGGCACUAUCGGCUGCAGUAAAAAAUGCACCAGUUCUGCUCCAUAUAUUCAGCUUCAACCUCAGCGUCACCUCCUACCUGACGGAGGCUAUUUACCUGUGACUGAACCCCCUCGAGUCUAAACCUCAGAGCAUCAACAGGUACGGUGCCAGCCUACAGCCACGCCACCGUCAGCCACACCAGCAGCGCCAACGUGCCCAUGCCUCCCUGCCCCUGCCCGCCCCUGCCGUGCCCUCAUUACCCAGUGCGCCCGGCAGGAGGAGUCACGCCCGCGCCGCCGCCACAUCGCCUCCAGCGCCACGUGUUUCAGCCGCAGCGACCCAAAAUGUUCGAAUUUCCCCAGCGCGCCUCACAUUCCUCCGCCAGGUUAACCGCGGCCCGCCACGCCCAUCAGCGGGCGGCACCACAAACACUCACCGUCUAUCAGCCGCCCCUCUAAUGCAGUCACCCCGCCUGCCGCACUCCACUUGUGAGAUAAGACUUAUCUCUCGAGUAUAGAGGAGUUGCGGUGCUGGCAGUGAUGUUGGUGAUGGUGGUGACAAAGGAAAGCACGAGGAGACGACACAAGAGGAGGAGGAGGAGGAGGAGGAAGAUCGUAACUAGGAAAAGGAUGGUAAAAAGAGAUGAAAUUGUUAGAGGAGGAGGAGGAAAGGAAGAGAAAGAAAAGAGGAAAGGAGAUGACAGAGUAGGAAAGGAGAAAGGAUAAGAACAAGAACAAGAAAUUAGAAACGCAAGAAUAAAAAACAUCCAAUUCAACAACAACAACAACAACAACAAUAAAUACAAACAGGAAUCAAAACAGAGGUACUUGUUGUGUAUGCAAAUGAGGUGAGGAAACAAGACCCUAACAUUUUGCAA